GUGUUGUUUUGCUGUAUAUUUGUACGUAACACAGAGCGUAUGUAAUCAGCCAAAGUUGAGUUAAUGAACCUGGCAUGAGUAGGCAGCGAAGAAUCCGUUAAUUAACCAGGUGUGUUGAUGUAUGAUACGUGACGAAAUCCGUUAAUUAACCAGGGUGUGUUGAUGUGUGAUACGUGAAGGUUCCGUUAAUUAACCAGGUGUGUUGAUGUGUGAUACGUGAAGAAUCCGUUAAUUAACCAGGUGUGUUGAUGUGUGAUACGUGAAGAAUCCGUUA
Long non-coding RNA from Priapulus caudatus, 274 nucleotides. RefSeq lists it as uncharacterized. The record is from RefSeq and is a predicted model, not a curated record. The transcript has 3 exons. Lineage: Eukaryota; Metazoa; Priapulida; Priapulimorpha; Priapulimorphida; Priapulidae.